GGCUCAGAACGAACGCUGGCGGCGUGCUUAACACAUUGCAGUCGAACGGGAAAGUUCCUUCGGGCAAUGAGUACAGUGGCGCACGGGUGAGUACACGUAGGUAACCUACCUUCCGCUGGGGAAUAACUCCGGGAAACCGAAGCUAAUUCCGCAUACGUCUCAUCAUCUAUAAGUUGGUGAGGGAAAGGUGGCCUCUUCAUGAAAGCUAUCGGCGGUAGAUGGGCCUGCGCACCAUUAGCUUGUUGGUAAGGUAACGGCUUACCAAGGCUACGAUGGUUAGCUGGUCUGAGAGGAUGAUCAGCCACACUGGCACUGAAACACGGGCCAGACUCCUACGGGAGGCAGCAGUGGGGAAUAUUGCGCAAUGGGCGAAAGCCUGACGCAGCAACGCCGCGUGAGUGAUGAAGGUUUUCGGAUCGUAAAGCUCUGUCAAAAGGGAAGAAUCUCUGGCGAGAACAAUACCUCGUCAGUUUGACGGUACCUUUAAAGGAAGCAACCGGCUAACUCCGUGCCAGCAGCCGCGGUAAUACGG
This 532-nucleotide ribosomal RNA is filed under the name uncultured organism. Its description in RNAcentral is "bacterial SSU rRNA". It matches the Rfam family "Bacterial small subunit ribosomal RNA", at positions 21 to 528 of the family's 1533-position model. The record is from RNAcentral.